AAGAUCUCAUUGGGGUGCCCAUCGGGGCUGAGAGGCGCUAAGCCAACCCACCGAACCUGAUCCGGGUCGUGCCGGCGGAGGGAGUUGAGAUGACCGACGAC
Molecule: non-coding RNA, 101 nt
Filed under: Lutibaculum baratangense AMV1
Lineage: Bacteria; Pseudomonadati; Pseudomonadota; Alphaproteobacteria; Hyphomicrobiales; Tepidamorphaceae
Also listed under: 1 other name
Description: Phyllobacteriaceae bacterium AMV1 TPP riboswitch aptamer (THI element)
Rfam family: TPP riboswitch aptamer (THI element)
About the family: Vitamin B(1) in its active form thiamin pyrophosphate (TPP) is an essential coenzyme that is synthesised by coupling of pyrimidine and thiazole moieties in bacteria.
Source: Rfam by way of RNAcentral